RNAcentral lists this ribosomal RNA (427 nucleotides) under uncultured bacterium. RNAcentral describes it as "partial 16S ribosomal RNA". It matches the Rfam family "Bacterial small subunit ribosomal RNA", at positions 355 to 774 of the family's 1533-position model. The record is from RNAcentral.
UGGGGAAUUUUGGACAAUGGGCGAAAGCCUGAUCCAGCAAUGCCGCGUGAGUGAAGAAGGCCUUCGGGUUGUAAAGCUCUUUUGUCAGGGAAGAAACGGUGAGGGCUAAUAUCCCUUGCUAAUGACGGUACCUGAAGAAUAAGCACCGGCUAACUACGUGCCAGCAGCCGCGGUAAUACGUAGGGUGCAAGUGUUAAUCGGAAUUACUGGGCGUAAAGCGUGCGCAGGCGGUUUUGUAAGUCUGAUGUGAAAUCCCCGGGCUCAACCUGGGAAUUGCAUUGGAGACUGCAAGGCUAGAAUCUGGCAGAGGGGGGUAGAAUUCCACGUGUAGCAGUGAAAUGCGUAGAUAUGUGGAGGAACACCGAUGGCGAAGGCAGCCCCCUGGGUCAAGAUUGACGCUCAUGCACGAAAGCGUGGGGAGCAAACA